GUAUGUGUAUGCGAUCGAGAGAGAGAUCCAGGGGAGAAACCUUCACCUUAAAAUCCUGCAAAAUCCAUCAAAUUGAAGAAGUUUAAAGCUGUAUUUUUAGUGCAUGAGUUAGGAAUUAUGAUCUCUUAAGUAUUGUUGAUACCAAGUUAAAUUUCAUGUUUUAGUGUUAGUAGGUGAAAUGGGUUAUGUGUAAUCACUGGUUAUAUAUGAAAUUGAAUAUGAAUGCUAGAUGAUAUUAGCAAAUAGAAGUUGUAACUAUGCUUGAAUUUGACUAUAUUGAUAGUUUGGGGUAAAACCCAAUUGUAAAUGUAAGAAAAUAGAGUUUAGUGAAGUUUAUGGAUGAAUUGAGUAAUGUUGAUAUUAAAUUAGUGCUAUAGAAAGAGUUUAGAUGGAUAAUUUGAUAUAAAACAUAUGUUGUAUGAUUGUAAUGAUGAUUGUGAAAGAUUUGAUUAAUCCAUGGAUGAACUAGGAAGAAUAUGCUAUAACCACUUGUACAUUAUGGUUAUUUGAUAAUAUGGACACAACGUGUUUGAUGAAAUGCCUUAAAUUGACGUAGUGGGUUUUUGAUGUCAAAACUAGUUGAAUUUGAUGAGUAAGCAUGGAAAUAGAAUUUAUGUGCGGUUAGUUAAAGCCGUGAUAAAUAAUUGAAGUGUGCGUAUGUAAUGUAUAAUAUGAAAGCUAAACAUGUAACGUUGCACCUUGUAGGGGCAAAGAAGGGCGCAAGUCAGUUGAAGACGCUUGGAACGCAAGAUCACGGAAAAUCUCACCUUUGAUGAUGGCGCGCUUGGAUUGAACACACUACAUCGCCCCUUUAUGCGCUUCCGGUUUAUGUUAUUUUCAACCGGGUAAAAACUAUUUUGGGUUGUAAAUGUUAGUUUAAAAAGUUAGGGUCUUUUGUAAGUAAGUAAGUAUGUUAACUUGUACUUCAUAUGGUGGAUCGGGUUAACUCUUGUGUUUAAACUAGAUGGUUACGUUGAUUUCGAACUAAGGGUGUUUUGGUAAAAAUGAAUGUAAUGAAAUGA
Molecule: long non-coding RNA, 1022 nt
Filed under: Helianthus annuus (common sunflower)
Lineage: Eukaryota; Viridiplantae; Streptophyta; Magnoliopsida; Asterales; Asteraceae
Description: hypothetical non coding rna
Source: RNAcentral